GAUGAACGCUGGCGGCGUGCCUAAUACAUGCAAGUCGAGCGAACAGAUAAGGCGCUUGCUCCUUUGACGUUAGCGGCGGACGGGUGAGUAACACGUGGGUAACCUACCUAUAAGACUGAAAUAACUCCGGGAAACCGGGUCUAAUGCCGGAUAACAUGUUGAACCGCAUGGUUCUACAGUGAAAGGCGGCUUUGCUGUCCCUUAUAGAUGGACCCAGGCCGGAUUAGCGAGUUGGGGGGGUAACGGCUCACCAAGGCAACGAUCCGUAGCCGACCUGAGAGGAUGAGCAGCCACACGGGAAGUGAGACACGGUCCAGACUCCUACGGGAGGCAGCAGUGGGGAAUAUUGGACAAUGGGCGAAAGCCUGAUCCAGCAAUGCCGCGUGUGUGAAGAAGGUCUUCGGAUUGUAAAGCACGUUAAGUUGGGAGGAAGGGCAGUAAGUUAAUACCUUGCUGUUUUGACGUUACCAACAGAAUAAGCACCGGCUAACUUCGUG
This 497-nucleotide ribosomal RNA is filed under the name uncultured bacterium. Its description in RNAcentral is "partial 16S ribosomal RNA". It matches the Rfam family "Bacterial small subunit ribosomal RNA", at positions 28 to 507 of the family's 1533-position model. The record is from RNAcentral.